RNAcentral lists this ribosomal RNA (1435 nucleotides) under uncultured organism. Its description in RNAcentral is "16S ribosomal RNA". It matches the Rfam family "Bacterial small subunit ribosomal RNA". The record is from RNAcentral.
CAGGCUUAACACAUGCAAGUCGAGGGGCAGCAUUUUAGUUUGCUUGCAAACUGAAGAUGGCGACCGGCGCACGGGUGAGUAACACGUAUCCAACCUGCCGAUAACUCCGGGAUAGCCUUUCGAAAGAAAGAUUAAUACCGGAUAGCAUACGAAUAUCGCAUGAUAUUUUUAUUAAAGAAUUUCGGUUAUCGAUGGGGAUGCGUUCCAUUAGUUUGUUGGCGGGGUAACGGCCCACCAAGACUACGAUGGAUAGGGGUUCUGAGAGGAAGGUCCCCCACAUUGGAACUGAGACACGGUCCAAACUCCUACGGGAGGCAGCAGUGAGGAAUAUUGGUCAAUGGGCGAGAGCCUGAACCAGCCAAGUAGCGUGAAGGAUGAAGGCUCUAUGGGUCGUAAACUUCUUUUAUAUGGGAAUAAAGUUUUCCACGUGUGGAAUUUUGUAUGUACCAUAUGAAUAAGGAUCGGCUAACUCCGUGCCAGCAGCCGCGGUAAUACGGAGGAUCCGAGCGUUAUCCGGAUUUAUUGGGUUUAAAGGGAGCGUAGGUGGAUUGUUAAGUCAGUUGUGAAAGUUUGCGGCUCAACCGUAAAAUUGCAGUUGAAACUGGCAGUCUUGAGUACAGUAGAGGUGGGCGGAAUUCGUGGUGUAGCGGUGAAAUGCUUAGAUAUCACGAAGAACUCCGAUUGCGAAGGCAGCUCACUAGACUGUCACUGACACUGAUGCUCGAAAGUGUGGGUAUCAAACAGGAUUAGAUACCCUGGUAGUCCGCACAGUAAACGAUGAAUACUCGCUGUUUGCGAUAUACAGUAAGCGGCCAAGCGAAAGCAUUAAGUAUUCCACCUGGGGAGUACGCCGGCAACGGUGAAACUCAAAGGAAUUGACGGGGGCCCGCACAAGCGGAGGAACAUGUGGUUUAAUUCGAUGAUACGCGAGGAACCUUACCCGGGCUUAAAUUGCAACAGAAUAUAUUGGAAACAGUAUAGCCGUAAGGCUGUUGUGAAGGUGCUGCAUGGUUGUCGUCAGCUCGUGCCGUGAGGUGUCGGCUUAAGUGCCAUAACGAGCGCAACCCUUAUCUUUAGUUACUAACAGGUUAUGCUGAGGACUCUAGAGAGACUGCCGUCGUAAGAUGUGAGGAAGGUGGGGAUGACGUCAAAUCAGCACGGCCCUUACGUCCGGGGCUACACACGUGUUACAAUGGGGGGUACAGAAGGCGGCUACCUGGUGACAGGAUGCUAAUCCCAAAAACCUCUCUCAGUUCGGAUCGAAGUCUGCAACCCGACUUCGUGAAGCUGGAUUCGCUAGUAAUCGCGCAUCAGCCAUGGCGCGGUGAAUACGUUCCCGGGCCUUGUACACACCGCCCGUCAAGCCAUGAAAGCCGGGGGUACCUGAAGUACGUAACCGCAAGGAGCGUCCUAGGGUAAAACUGGUAAUUGGGGC